RNAcentral lists this ribosomal RNA (160 nucleotides) under uncultured bacterium. RNAcentral's name for it is "partial 16S ribosomal RNA". It matches the Rfam family "Bacterial small subunit ribosomal RNA", at positions 355 to 507 of the family's 1533-position model. The record is from RNAcentral.
UGGGGAAUAUUGCACAAUGGGCGCAAGCCUGAUGCAGCCAUGCCGCGUGUAUGAAGAAGGCCUUCGGGUUGUAAAGUACUUUCAGCGGGGAGGAAGGCGGUGAGGUUAAUAACCUCAUCGAUUGACGUUACCCGCAGAAGAAGCACCGGCUAACUCCGUG